This 73-nucleotide transfer RNA is filed under the name Ixodes scapularis (black-legged tick). It matches the Rfam family "tRNA". Rfam says of the family: Transfer RNA (tRNA) molecules are approximately 80 nucleotides in length. Their secondary structure includes four short double-helical elements and three loops (D, anti-codon, and T loops). Lineage: Eukaryota; Metazoa; Arthropoda; Arachnida; Ixodida; Ixodidae. The record is from Rfam by way of RNAcentral.
CCCUGGUUAGCUUAGUUGGUAGAGCGCUCCACUGGAAAUGCAGUGGUCCCUGGUUCGAUACCCGGACCAGGCG